AAACUAAAUGCUUUUCCUUCGUCUUUAAAGCAACUAUGUUUAUUCUUCCUUUGAAUAAUGUGAAGGCCCUUGUUUGUGGAGGCUUCUAGACAGCUUCCUUUGGUUAAUCCGUCCCUGCUCCUGAGAGGAACUACUGUAGCAUCAAGUGAUGUUAUAGUAGGUGAGAUAAAAGUGGGUAAUUCACUUGAGAAACGUUUAAAUGAAUUACCUCAAAUAUAUAUUAUAGAGUAUACAAGAUAUUGCAACAUGGGGGCAAAAUGUUGCUGAAUCUUCAAAUGCGAUGAUGUUUUAUAAACCUUCGUACCUUACCGUAAUAAUUAAACAACCUUUUCAAUGAAAUCGAGCAGAGAAUAUAUUGCAUGAGACAUUCGUUAAUUAUCUUGUUUUUAUCUAGGUAUUUUUGAAUUAUAUCGCAUGUAAUAAAUCGUUUGACAAUGUCACAGAACACUGCAUGUGUUAUAACAUUGAGGGGUGUUACAGCACAAUGCACGGUUCAAACGAUAAGCUUUCCGCGAGUCUUAUAAUCUUCAAAGAGUUGUUCACUUAACAUACAUGUUCAGUCAUGUACAGUGUCGAGCGUACGGACAGUGAAAGAACGCGAACUCUGGCAGUGGUACAAGAGAUGAAGAUCAAGAAGAAGAUAGAGGAGUACGUUAUUAUUUUUUCCUGUCCUAAUCUUAACUUGUUUUUAGAUUUUUCGUUUAGAU
Xenia sp. Carnegie-2017 is the source of this 707-nucleotide long non-coding RNA. RefSeq lists it as uncharacterized. Lineage: Eukaryota; Metazoa; Cnidaria; Anthozoa; Malacalcyonacea; Xeniidae. The transcript has 2 exons. The record is from RefSeq and is a predicted model, not a curated record.